UGGGGAAUAUUGCACAAUGGAGGGAACUCUGAUGCAGCGACGCCGCGUGAGUGAUGAAGGACUUCGUUUCGUAAAACUCUGUUCUAUGGGAAGAAAAGGACUGUACCAUAGGAGAAAGCUCCGGCUAAAUACGUGCCAGCAGCCGCGGUAAUACGUAUGGAGCGAGCGUUGUCCGGAAUUAUUGGGCGUAAAGGGUGCGCAGGCGGCUUUACAAGUUGGAUGUGAAAUAUUGUGGCUCAACCACAAACGUGCAUCCAAAACUGCAAAGCUUGAGUUAAGGAGAGGUAAGUGGAAUUCCUGGUGUAGCGGUGGAAUGCGUAGAUAUCAGGAGGAAUACCGGGGGCGAAGGCGACUUACUGGACUUAAACUGACGCUCAGGCACGAAAGCGUGGGGAGCAAACAGG
RNAcentral lists this ribosomal RNA (404 nucleotides) under Fusobacteriota bacterium. Its description in RNAcentral is "Fusobacteria bacterium partial 16S ribosomal RNA". It matches the Rfam family "Bacterial small subunit ribosomal RNA", at positions 355 to 776 of the family's 1533-position model. Lineage: Bacteria; Fusobacteriati; Fusobacteriota. The record is from RNAcentral.